GACGAACGCUGGCGGCGUGCUUAACACAUGCAAGUCGAGCGGUAAGGCCCUUUCGGGGGUACACGAGCGGCGAACGGGUGAGUAACACGUGGGUGACCUGCCCUCAGCUCUGGGAUAAGCCUGGGAAACUGGGUCUAAUACUGGAUAUGACUCCACGGUGCAUGUCGUGGGGUGGAAAGCCUUGUGCGGCUGAGGAUGGGCCCGCGGCCUAUCAGCUUGUUGGUGGGGNGAUGGCCUACCAAGGCGACGACGGGUAGCCGGCCUGAGAGGGCGACCGGCCACACUGGGACUGAGACACGGCCCAGACUCCUACGGGAGGCAGCAGCGGGGAAUCUUGCGCAAUGGGCGAAAGCCUGACGCAGCGACGCCGCGUGAGGGAUGACGGCCU
RNAcentral lists this ribosomal RNA (388 nucleotides) under uncultured bacterium. RNAcentral describes it as "bacterial SSU rRNA". It matches the Rfam family "Bacterial small subunit ribosomal RNA", at positions 28 to 417 of the family's 1533-position model. The record is from RNAcentral.